This 252-nucleotide ribosomal RNA is filed under the name uncultured bacterium. RNAcentral's name for it is "partial 16S ribosomal RNA". It matches the Rfam family "Bacterial small subunit ribosomal RNA", at positions 524 to 776 of the family's 1533-position model. The record is from RNAcentral.
UACGGAGGAUGCGAGCGUUAUCCGGAUUUAUUGGGUUUAAAGGGUGCGUAGGCGGACUGUCAAGUCAGCGGUAAAAUUGAGAGGCUCAACCUCUUCCCGCCGUUGAAACUGGUGGCCUUGAGUGGAUGAGAAGUACGCGGAAUGCGUGGUGUAGCGGUGAAAUGCAUAGAUAUCACGCAGAACUCCGAUUGCGAAGGCAGCGUACCGGCAUCCAACUGACGCUGAGGCACGAAAGCGUGGGGAGCAAACAGG